GUUUCAGGGCGGGGCGAAAUUCCCCACUGGCGGUAUUGGGACGAGGUCCCAGAGCCCGCGAGCCGCAAGAGCGGCCGAUCUGGUGAGAUUCCAGAGCCAACGGUCACAGUCCGGAUGAGAGAAA
Molecule: non-coding RNA, 124 nt
Filed under: bovine gut metagenome
Description: FMN riboswitch (RFN element)
Rfam family: FMN riboswitch aptamer (RFN element)
About the family: The RFN element is a highly conserved domain that is found frequently in the 5'-untranslated regions of prokaryotic mRNAs that encode for flavin mononucleotide (FMN) biosynthesis and transport proteins. This element is a metabolite-dependent riboswitch that directly binds FMN in the absence of proteins.
Source: RNAcentral